RNAcentral lists this ribosomal RNA (373 nucleotides) under uncultured bacterium. RNAcentral's name for it is "bacterial SSU rRNA". It matches the Rfam family "Bacterial small subunit ribosomal RNA", at positions 525 to 896 of the family's 1533-position model. The record is from RNAcentral.
ACAGAGGGGGCAAGCGUUAUUCGGAAUUAUUGGGCGUAAAGGGCGCGUAGGCGGUUUUUUAAGUCAGAUGUGUAAUCCCCGAGCUCAACUUGGGAACUGCAUCUGAGACUGGAAGGCUAGAGUACUGGAGAGGGUGGUGGAAUUCCUCGUGUAGCGGUGAAAUGCGUAGAGAUGAGGAGGAACACCAGUGGCGAAGGCGGCCACCUGGACAGUAACUGACGCUGAGGCGCGAAAGUGUGGGUAGCAAACAGGAUUAGAUACCCUGGUAGUCCACACUGUAAACGAUGAACACUUGGUGUGGAGGGAGUUGACCCCUUCCGUGCCGGAGCUAACGCGUUAAGUGUUCCGCCUGGGGAGUACGGUCGCAAGGCUG